RNAcentral lists this ribosomal RNA (664 nucleotides) under Nymphargus mixomaculatus. RNAcentral's name for it is "partial 12S ribosomal RNA". It matches the Rfam family "Bacterial small subunit ribosomal RNA", at positions 648 to 1533 of the family's 1533-position model. The record is from RNAcentral. Lineage: Eukaryota; Metazoa; Chordata; Amphibia; Anura; Centrolenidae.
CCCCCGUUAGAGUCAAACUAAAACUAAGCUGUGACACGCUUGUAUUUAAGAAGCCCAAAAACGAAAGUUACUCCAAUUUGACCAACUUGAAUCCACGACAACUGAGACACAAACUGGGAUUAGAUACCCCACUAUGCUCAGUCGUAAACUUUAAAUUACACCCCCCUAUCGCCCGGGAACUACGAGCAAAGCUUAAAACCCAAAGGACUUGACGGUACCCCACAUCCACCUAGAGGAGCCUGUCCUGCAAUCGAUACCCCCCGCUAAACCUCACCACUUCUUGCCCAUUCAGCCUGUAUACCUCCGUCGUCAGCUUACCACGUGAGCGCAACUCAGUGAGCUUAAUGCCCAUACGCCAACACGUCAGGUCAAGGUGCAGCAAAUGAAGUGGGAAGAGAUGGGCUACACUCUCUAACAUAGAAUAACACGGAAGACUACCUAUGAAACCUAGUCUAAAGGCGGAUUUAGAAGUAAAAAGAAAAAAGAAUGUUCUUUUUAACCCGGCACUGGGGUGUGUACACACCGCCCGUCACCCUCUUCAAAGCUAUCAAAAAGUAAAUAACUAACUAUUGCACAACAGAAGAGGCAAGUCGUAACAUGGUAAGUAUACCGGAAGGUGUGCUUGGAAACGAAGUGUAGCUUAACCAAAGCCUCUCGCUUACAA